This 188-nucleotide unclassified non-coding RNA is filed under the name plant metagenome. Its description in RNAcentral is "partial contains small subunit ribosomal RNA and internal transcribed spacer 1". The stretch from base 1 to 46 matches the Rfam family "Eukaryotic small subunit ribosomal RNA", at positions 1786 to 1831 of the family's 1831-position model. The record is from RNAcentral.
AAGUCGUAACAAGGUUUCCGUAGGUGAACCUGCGGAAGGAUCAUUAAAGAGAGAGGGUCCCCAGGCCCAAACCUCCCCCUUGCCAAUCAAACCUAGCCUUGCCUUUGCAUUGGGUGGACCGCCGCUCCAGAGGAGCCCUUUGAAACCCCGGUCAUCUGUGGAGUCUGAGCAUGAUACAAUAGUUAAAA